RNAcentral lists this ribosomal RNA (400 nucleotides) under uncultured bacterium. Its description in RNAcentral is "bacterial SSU rRNA". It matches the Rfam family "Bacterial small subunit ribosomal RNA", at positions 359 to 776 of the family's 1533-position model. The record is from RNAcentral.
GAAUCUUAGACAAUGGGCGCAAGCCUGAUCUAGCCAUGCCGCGUGAGUGAUGAAGGCCUUAGGGUUGUAAAGUCCUUUCGCUGGGGAAGAUAAUGACGGUACCCAGUAAAGAAGCCCCGGCUAACUCCGUGCCAGCAGCCGCGGUAAUACGGAGGGGGCUAGCGUGGUUCGGAAUUACUGGGCGUAAAGCGCACGUAGGCGGAUUGGAAAGUUGGGGGUGAAAUCCCAGGGCUCAACCCUGGAACUGCCUUCAAGACUCCCAGUCUAGAGUUCGAGAGAGGUGAGUGGAAUUCCGAGUGUAGAGGUGAAAUUCGUAGAUAUUCGGAGGAACACCAGUGGCGAAGGCGGCUCACUGGCUCGAUACUGACGCUGAGGUGCGAAAGCGUGGGGAGCAAACAGG